Small nucleolar RNA from Bufo bufo (common toad), 98 nucleotides. RefSeq annotates it as small nucleolar RNA SNORA17. The transcript has a single exon. The record is from RefSeq and is a predicted model, not a curated record. Lineage: Eukaryota; Metazoa; Chordata; Amphibia; Anura; Bufonidae.
UUUGUGCAUAGAUGCAGGUGCGGCAGCGCUGCCGCACCUGCAUCUAUGCACAAAAUAAAAAAACUUUUUGUAAUGCAGAUCACACCCAAACUUAUAAU